RNAcentral lists this transfer RNA (69 nucleotides) under Eurygaster testudinaria. RNAcentral's name for it is "tRNA-Gln". Lineage: Eukaryota; Metazoa; Arthropoda; Insecta; Hemiptera; Scutelleridae. The record is from RNAcentral. RNAcentral also lists the same sequence under 1 other name.
UGUAUUUUGGUGUAUGAUGCACAUUAAGUUUUGAUCUUAAUGGAUAUAGUUUAAUUCUAUAAUUUACAA